UUUUGGACAAUGGGGGCAACCCUGAUCCAGCCAUGCCGCGUGGGUGAAGAAGGCCUUCGGGUUGUAAAGCCCUUUCGGCGGGGACGAAAUCGCGGGGGUGAGAAGCCUUCGUGGAUGACGGUACUCGCAGAAGAAGCACCAGCUAACUACGUGCCAGCAGCCGCGGUAAUACGUAGGGUGCGAGCGUUAAUCGGAAUUACUGGGCGUAAAGCGUGCGCAGGCGGCCCUUUAAGUCAGGUGUGAAAGCCCUGGGCUUAACCUAGGAAUGGCGCUUGAAACUGGGGGGCUAGAGUGCGGCAGAGGGGGGUGGAAUUCCUGGUGUAGCGGUGAAAUGCGUAGAGAUCAGGAGGAACACCGAUGGCGAAGGCAGCCCCCUGGGUCGACACUGACGCUCAGGCACAAA
Molecule: ribosomal RNA, 403 nt
Filed under: uncultured bacterium
Lineage: Bacteria
Description: bacterial SSU rRNA
Rfam family: Bacterial small subunit ribosomal RNA
Source: RNAcentral